This 82-nucleotide transfer RNA is filed under the name Hypsizygus marmoreus. It matches the Rfam family "tRNA". From Rfam's summary of the family: Transfer RNA (tRNA) molecules are approximately 80 nucleotides in length. Their secondary structure includes four short double-helical elements and three loops (D, anti-codon, and T loops). Further hydrogen bonds mediate the characteristic L-shaped molecular structure. tRNAs have two regions of fundamental functional importance: the anti-codon, which is responsible for specific mRNA codon recognition, and the 3' end, to which the tRNAs corresponding amino acid is attached (by aminoacyl-tRNA synthetases). tRNAs cope with the degeneracy of the genetic code in two manners: having more than one tRNA (with a specific anti-codon) for a particular amino acid; and 'wobble' base-pairing, i.e. permitting non-standard base-pairing at the 3rd anti-codon position. Lineage: Eukaryota; Fungi; Basidiomycota; Agaricomycetes; Agaricales; Lyophyllaceae. The record is from Rfam by way of RNAcentral.
GGCCGCCUGGCGAAAUGGCAUCGCGUCUGACUACGAUUCAGUGUUCAUCAGGAGAUUGCAGGUUCGACCCCUGCGGUGGUCA